This 88-nucleotide transfer RNA is filed under the name Nitrososphaerota archaeon. RNAcentral's name for it is "Thaumarchaeota archaeon tRNA-Ala". It matches the Rfam family "tRNA". Rfam says of the family: Transfer RNA (tRNA) molecules are approximately 80 nucleotides in length. The record is from RNAcentral. RNAcentral also lists the same sequence under 1 other name. Lineage: Archaea; Thermoproteati; Nitrososphaerota.
GGGCCGGUAGUUCAGCGGUAUGAUGUCUGUACAUAUACACGUCCGCCUCGCGCGCGGAAGGUCGGGGGUUCAAUUCCCCCCCGGUCCA